This 59-nucleotide ribosomal RNA is filed under the name Fusarium keratoplasticum. RNAcentral's name for it is "partial 28S ribosomal RNA". It matches the Rfam family "Eukaryotic large subunit ribosomal RNA", at positions 1 to 57 of the family's 3401-position model. Lineage: Eukaryota; Fungi; Ascomycota; Sordariomycetes; Hypocreales; Nectriaceae. The record is from RNAcentral.
UUGACCCUCGAAUCAGGUAGGAAUACCCGCUGAACUUAAGCAUAUCAAUAAGCGGAGGA